UACGUAGGGGGCAAGCGUUGUCCGGAAUCAUUGGGCGUAAAGAGCGCGUAGGCGGCCCUGUAAGUCCGCUGUGAAAGUCAAGGGCUCAACCCUUGGAUGCCGGUGGAUACUGUCGAGCUCGAGUCCGGAAGAGGCGAGUGGAAUUCCUGGUGUAGCGGUGAAAUGCGCAGAUAUCAGGAGGAACACCGGUGGCGAAGGCGGGUCUCUGGGCCGAUACUGACGCUGAGGAGCGAAAGCGUGGGGAGCGAACAGG
Molecule: ribosomal RNA, 253 nt
Filed under: uncultured bacterium
Lineage: Bacteria
Description: partial 16S ribosomal RNA
Rfam family: Bacterial small subunit ribosomal RNA
Source: RNAcentral